RNAcentral lists this unclassified non-coding RNA (246 nucleotides) under Hevea brasiliensis (rubber tree). The record is from RNAcentral. Lineage: Eukaryota; Viridiplantae; Streptophyta; Magnoliopsida; Malpighiales; Euphorbiaceae.
GUCUAGAUUAAUUGGGAACAUUGGAAAAAUUCAAGAUAAUUUUCUGCAAAUUUGGGGUUUGGAGUUGACUAAGAUGUGGGAUAUACCAAUGGCGAAGGGAAGUGUCUGUGUGUGUUGGAUAAGCCAAAGAAAGGAUAUUCAUUCCAGUUCAUUCUUUUUCUGGGUUUGUGAGAAAAUGGAUUCUUUUCUGUAUGUACCUGAACUAAAACAUGACUAGAGACGCACAGUUCAAACCAUUUUUAAUAG